GACGAACGCUGGCGGCGUGCUUAACACAUGCAAGUCGAACGAUGAAGCUGGAGCUUGCUCCGGUGGAUUAGUGGCGAACGGGUGAGUAACACGUGAGCAAUCUGCCCUUGACUCUGGGAUAACUGCGGGAAACUGUAGCUAAUACCGGAUACUUUCACUGGAAGGCAUCUUCUGGUGAAGAAGGAAUUUCGGUCAAGGAUGAGCUCGCGGCCUAUCAGCUUGUUGGUGAGGUAACGGCUCACCAAGGCGACGACGGGUAGCCGGCCUGAGAGGGUGACCGGCCACACUGGGACUGAGACAGGGCCCAGACUGCUACGGGAGGCAGCAGUGGGGAAUAUUGCACAAUGGGCGCAAGCCUGAUGCAGCAACGCCGCGUGAGGGAUGAAGGCCUUCGGGUUGUAAACCUCUUUUAGCAGGGAAGAAGCGAAAGUGACGGUACCUGCAGAAAAAGCACCGGCUAACUACGUGCCAGCCGCCGCCGUAA
RNAcentral lists this ribosomal RNA (484 nucleotides) under uncultured bacterium. RNAcentral's name for it is "partial 16S ribosomal RNA". It matches the Rfam family "Bacterial small subunit ribosomal RNA", at positions 28 to 523 of the family's 1533-position model. The record is from RNAcentral.